CAGAUUUGGACCUUCUAGGUUUCCACUGUUCCAGAGUCCUAAGGGUCAGAAGUCCUGAGGCCUCAGUAUUGAGCAUCUCUGUGGGUGGCAGGCAGGAUGCUCACAGCGGGUAAUAACCAGUCCUCUUUCCUUCUCCAUCUCUCCUCUCCCUCCUCACCUUCUGACCUUUUUCCUUCCUUCCCUCUCUCCAUUUCUCUCUCUCUGUCUCUCUCUUUCCCUCCUUGUGACCCUCAGGUGUGCCCACUAGUCUGCAGCCUCCUUGAAAGCCUGGAUGCAGAGUAUGUUAAGAACCAUAUUGAAGAGGUUUAUAGACUCCAACAGGAAAACCCACAAAACAGAUGAGGAAAACAGCUGUGAAGCCUGCCUACUGAUUGGUUCCAGGACUUGACUGAAUCUCUGUACCAUCUCCCUCUGGGACGGUCAGUGCUGCCACCAUCCCGCAGGAGUGACAACUGAGCCCAAUCAAAGGACACCUCUCAGAUACUCAUGCUCACAGUCAGGACACCCUAUGCUUGUCACCCUCCACCCCCAGCAAUAAAGAGCCAUUUCUGUACCUCCUGCAUGCCCCAUUGCAUUCCUUCCAUUGGGAUU
RNAcentral lists this long non-coding RNA (591 nucleotides) under Capra hircus (goat). RNAcentral describes it as "lncRNA (ENSCHIG00000002181.1)". The record is from RNAcentral. Lineage: Eukaryota; Metazoa; Chordata; Mammalia; Artiodactyla; Bovidae.